RNAcentral lists this ribosomal RNA (318 nucleotides) under uncultured bacterium. RNAcentral's name for it is "bacterial SSU rRNA". It matches the Rfam family "Bacterial small subunit ribosomal RNA", at positions 28 to 289 of the family's 1533-position model. The record is from RNAcentral.
GAUGAACGCUAGCGGCAGGCUUAACACAUGCAAGUCGAGGGGCAGCACGAGGUAGCAAUACUUUGGUGGCGACCGGCGCACGGGUGCGUAACGCGUAUGCAACCUACCUUUAACAGGGGCAUAACACUGAGAAAUUGGUACUAAUUCCCCAUAACAUUCGAGAAGGCAUCUUCUUGGGUUAAAAACUCCGGUGGUUAAAGAUGGGCAUGCGUUGUAUUACGCGUACGUUAGGUUGGUAGGUAACGGGUAACCGGUCCUACCCAAACCGGAACGGAACCGAACGUAACUAACUAAGGGGGUAACGGGGGUACGUAGGAA